CACGGAUGGACGAGUGUUAUUCAUCAUAACUAGGCGUAAAGGGCUUCUCGGUGGUUUAUUGUGUUUUUAUUAAAAAACGAGGUUUUUCACCUUGGGUUAUUAUUUAUACUAAUAAACUGGAAUAUUGCAGAAAUAUAAGAUACUUUAAAUGUAAAGGUAAAUUUGUAAAAAUUUAAAGGAUGACCAGUCAGGUGAAGACGUUAUAUUAUGUUAUAUUGACACUUAAGGGCUAAAGUAUAAGUAUCAAUGGG
RNAcentral lists this ribosomal RNA (251 nucleotides) under uncultured bacterium. RNAcentral's name for it is "partial 16S ribosomal RNA". It matches the Rfam family "Bacterial small subunit ribosomal RNA", at positions 524 to 775 of the family's 1533-position model. The record is from RNAcentral.